UUUUGUUAACAUCAUAUUUUAAGUUUGACAUCAAAAUUCCUUAAAAAAAAAAAAAGUUUGACUUCAUAAUAUAAUAUAUAUUACAUGAUGCACUUAUUUACUAUUGAAGGAUGCACUUAUUUACUAUUGAAGAAUAACCAUGUGUCCAUCCCAUUUAGCAUGUUAUUUUCUUCAUUGAGCUCAAGGAAGGGGAGGAAGGCUGUCAAACAAAUUAAGCACAAGAAACAAUAUCAAUAACAAAAAGCAAAUAAAUUCUUAAAAACAAUUAAAGAUUAAAUUAAUACUUUAUUAACUACUCCCCCGAUUAUUUUUAUAAGAAACAAUUUAUUUUUUAGGUUCAUUGCAUUUGCAUAUUUGAUGUAUCUGGUAUAUAUUAUAUACGAUAUACGUUAAUUAUUCAAUGAACCUAAAAAAUCAACUGUUUCUUAUAAAAAAUGAUCAGAAGUAUAGUAUUUAACAAAAUAAUAAAUAAUUUAUUGUUACUUAUAAGGAAAAGAUAUUGAGAACUUACUUAUCGCAAUCCAUAUUUUUGCUUAUAGUAAAAUUUAUGUCAACACCGCAACGUUGUGGAAGUGUGGCAGCUAUGUCUUCUCUUAU
RNAcentral lists this long non-coding RNA (597 nucleotides) under Trifolium pratense (red clover). RNAcentral describes it as "long non-coding RNA (TPRA_LNC004385)". Lineage: Eukaryota; Viridiplantae; Streptophyta; Magnoliopsida; Fabales; Fabaceae. The record is from RNAcentral.